GCUGGCUGUACUAGAAGUAGCUUCGCUAACCCGCAAGGGAGGCWGGUUCCUAAGGUAUGGUCAGUGAUUGGGGUGAAGUCGUAACAAGGUAGCUGUAGGUGAACCUGCAGAAGGAUCA
This 118-nucleotide ribosomal RNA is filed under the name uncultured eukaryote. Its description in RNAcentral is "partial small subunit ribosomal RNA". The record is from RNAcentral.